CUACGACCUGGAUGAUUCAAAGGGAAUGGUUCCCUUUUUUCCUGGACAUGAGCACCAGAGGAUGAAGAGCUAUGAGGGAGGCACACCCCAAGGCAGUCCAAAGGGAGGAGUCCUUGUGGGAACCUCAGUCAUCACAAAGGACAGACAACGUCCCCAGAGGAAGGAAGAUCUGAGUGUGGCUUGCUGCUCCUGGGGAAUAAAUGUCAGCCUUGGUGCAGCACCUGGGGUAGCCAAAAACUCACAAUCUUUGGGACAUACUCAUUUCCAGAAAGCUUCAGAGGUCAAAAACUAG
Molecule: long non-coding RNA, 292 nt
Filed under: Bos mutus (wild yak)
Lineage: Eukaryota; Metazoa; Chordata; Mammalia; Artiodactyla; Bovidae
Description: lncRNA (ENSBMUG00000024451.1)
Source: RNAcentral